UACGUAGGGCGCAAGCGUUGUCCGGAAUUAUUGGGCGUAAAGAGCUCGUAGGCGGUUUGUCGCGUCUGCUGUGAAAACUCGAGGCUCAACCUCGGGCUUGCAGUGGGUACGGGCAGACUAGAGUGCGGUAGGGGUGACUGGAAUUCCUGGUGUAGCGGUGGAAUGCGCAGAUAUCAGGAGGAACACCGAUGGCGAAGGCAGGUCACUGGGCCGCAACUGACGCUGAGGCGCGAAAGCUAGGGGAGCAAACGGG
Molecule: ribosomal RNA, 253 nt
Filed under: uncultured bacterium
Lineage: Bacteria
Description: partial 16S ribosomal RNA
Rfam family: Bacterial small subunit ribosomal RNA
Source: RNAcentral